AGGCACGGUUAAUAUUUUUGAUGGAAAAAAAUUAAGCUAGCUGGACAACAUUGCUGGUAGCUAACUAGUUAACGCAGCGGUCUACCUCAGCUAUUUGGGUACCUAACCAAAUUAGCUAGCUGACGUUAGUUGGUUAAUGACUUGUCCAAGGAAGUGUUUGCUGUCCACCACUCAUGAAUUGGACAGGGUCCACCCGUCCCUUGCAAAAUCAGGCUGGAUAUAUAGUUAGGAAAAGGUACCUUUAACCGUAGCUUCCUGGGUCUAAUGGCAUUGGCCCAUGAAAGAGCCAAAGGCCAAGAUGCAGAGCUACGAACUGCUUUCAAAGUGUUUGACAAAGAGGUCAAGGGAUAUAUCGAGUGGAAUACACUGAAGUACAGUAUGUGUUGAUGAAUGCAUCAGAAUCACUGAAUGAGUUGGAGGCAGAGCAAAUGAUGGAGCCAGAUAAAGAUUGAGAUGGAACCAUCCCAAGAAGCCAGAAAUGAAGAGAGAACAUUAUGUUGGUCAGGUUUGACCGUGUUGGUUACUGUCCUGAACAUCAUGCUUCACCUGUUUUGAUAAUGUAUUAUAAUAAAACAAGACAAUUUC
This is a long non-coding RNA of Oncorhynchus kisutch (coho salmon), 585 nucleotides long. RefSeq lists it as uncharacterized. The transcript has 3 exons. Lineage: Eukaryota; Metazoa; Chordata; Actinopteri; Salmoniformes; Salmonidae. The record is from RefSeq and is a predicted model, not a curated record.